Molecule: ribosomal RNA, 468 nt
Filed under: uncultured bacterium
Lineage: Bacteria
Description: partial 16S ribosomal RNA
Rfam family: Bacterial small subunit ribosomal RNA
Source: RNAcentral
AACGAACGCUGGCGGCGUGCUUAACACAUGCAAGUCGAACGGAAAGGCCCUACUUUUGUGGGGUGCUCGGGUGGCGAACGGGGGCGUAACACGUGAGUAACCUGCCCUUGUCUUUGGGGUAACUUCAGGUAACUGGGGUUAAUACCGGAUAGGAGCUCCCGCUGCAUGGUGGGGGUGGGAAAGUUUCGGCUGUUGGGGAUGGAUGGGCGGCUUAUCAGCUUGUUGGUGGGGUAGUGGCUUACCAAGGCUUUGACGGGUCGCCGGCCUGAGAGGGUGACCGGCCACAUUGCGACUGAGAUACGGACCAGACUCCUACGGGAGGCAGCAGUGGGGAGUAUUGCACAAUGGGAGGAAGUCUGAUGAAGCAACGCCGCGUGCGGGAUGACGGCCUUCGGGUUGUAAACCGCAUUCGCCUGUGACGAAGCGUGAGUGACGGUAAUGAGUAAAGAAGCACCGGCUAACUACGUG